UACGGGGGGAGCAAGCGUUGUUCGGAUUUACUGGGCGUAAAGGGCGCGUAGGCGGCCUGUGCAAGUCAGUUGUGAAAUCUCCGAGCUUAACUCGGAAAGGUCAACUGAUACUGCGGGGCUAGAGUGCGGAAGGGGCAACUGGAAUUCUCGGUGUAGCGGUGAAAUGCGUAGAUAUCGAGAGGAACACCUGCGGCGAAGGCGGGUUGCUGGGCCGACACUGACGCUGAUGCGCGAAAGCCAGGGGAGCGAACGGG
Molecule: ribosomal RNA, 254 nt
Filed under: uncultured bacterium
Lineage: Bacteria
Description: partial 16S ribosomal RNA
Rfam family: Bacterial small subunit ribosomal RNA
Source: RNAcentral